This 1108-nucleotide ribosomal RNA is filed under the name Sinorhizobium sp. OS2. RNAcentral describes it as "bacterial SSU rRNA". The stretch from base 395 to 1108 matches the Rfam family "Bacterial small subunit ribosomal RNA", at positions 1 to 764 of the family's 1533-position model. Lineage: Bacteria; Pseudomonadati; Pseudomonadota; Alphaproteobacteria; Hyphomicrobiales; Rhizobiaceae. The record is from RNAcentral.
AGUCCACUCGUGCGAGUUACACUCGUGACGGCACUAUCGAGCCAGGAAUUGCACCCGUCACUGACUCCUCCUGAGUGCAGACCAAGGUAUAAAGCAUGCCGUAGAUAUAGAGUACUCGACAGAAAUCCCGCGUAAUUUUCUAGCAACGACCGCAUCAUAGGGGUCCCGAUCGUCCGAUAGAUACUCUACUAUACACCAGCUCAGGACGAUAAGCACUGCGUAUGAUACACGUCUCACCCUAUCAGCCCACUGUCAUGAUGAUGUCGCGGACCGUCAUGACGAGAGAAGUAUCUACUGCGACAUCCAGAUACAUCCAUUUUAAGAUUCGAUCUAAGAAGUUGAGUCAUGACUCAGGACGUAACGCUGGCGGCGUGCCUAAUACAUGCAAGUCGAUGCGGUUAAAAUUUAAAAACUGGCUCAGAACGAACGCUGGCGGCAGGCUUAACACAUGCACGUCGAGCGCCUCGCAAGGGGAGCGGCAGACGGGUGAGUAACGCGUGGGAAUUUACCCUUUUCUACGGAAUAACGCAGGGAAACUUGUGCUAAUACCGUAUAAGCCCUUUGGGGGAAAGAUUUAUCGGGAAAGGAUGAGCCCGCGUUGGAUUAGCUAGUUGGUGGGGUAAAGGCCUACCAAGGCGACGAUCCAUAGCUGGUCUGAGAGGAUGAUCAGCCACAUUGGGACUGAGACACGGCCCAAACUCCUACGGGAGGCAGCAGUGGGGAAUAUUGGACAAUGGGCGCAAGCCUGAUCCAGCCAUGCCGCGUGAGUGAUGAAGGCCCUAGGGUUGUAAAGCUCUUUCACCGGUGAAGAUAAUGACGGUAACCGGAGAAGAAGCCCCGGCUAACUUCGUGCCAGCAGCCGCGGUAAUACGAAGGGGGCUAGCGUUGUUCGGAAUUACUGGGCGUAAAGCGCACGUAGGCGGACAUUUAAGUCAGGGGUGAAAUCCCGGGGCUCAACCCCGGAACUGCCUUUGAUACUGGGUGUCUAGAGUAUGGAAGAGGUGAGUGGAAUUCCGAGUGUAGAGGUGAAAUUCGUAGAUAUUCGGAGGAACACCAGUGGCGAAGGCGGCUCACUGGUCCAUUACUGACGCUGAGUGCGAAAGAUCAC